GUGUCAGCAGCCGCGGUAAUACGAAGGGGGCUAGCGUUGCUCGGAAUCACUGGGCGUAAAGGGCGCGUAGGCGGCCCCGAUAGUCAGGCGUGAAAUUCCUGGGCUCAACCUGGGGACUGCGCUUGAUACGUCGGGGCUGGAGUGCGGGAGAGGGUCGCGGAAUUCCCAGUGUAGAGGUGAAAUUCGUAGAUAUUGGGAAGAACACCGGUGGCGAAGGCGGCGACCUGGCCCGUUACUGACGCUGAGGCGCGACAGCGUGGGGAGCAAACAGGAUUAGAUACCCUGGUAGUCC
RNAcentral lists this ribosomal RNA (292 nucleotides) under uncultured bacterium. Its description in RNAcentral is "partial 16S ribosomal RNA". It matches the Rfam family "Bacterial small subunit ribosomal RNA", at positions 505 to 796 of the family's 1533-position model. The record is from RNAcentral.